AUUGAACGCUGGCGGCAUGCCUUACACAUGCAAGUCGAACGGUAACAGGUCUUCGGAUGCUGACGAGUGGCGAACGGGUGAGUAAUACAUCGGAACGUGCCCGAUCGUGGGGGAUAACGCAGCGAAAGCUGUGCUAAUACCGCAUACGAUCUACGGAUGAAAGCGGGGGAUCGCAAGACCUCGCGCGGACGGAGCGGCCGAUGGCAGAUUAGGUAGUUGGUGGGAUAAAAGCUUACCAAGCCGACGAUCUGUAGCUGGUCUGAGAGGACGACCAGCCACACUGGGACUGAGGCACGGCCCAGACUCCUACGGGAGGCAGCAGUGGGGAAUUUUGGACAAUGGGCGCAAGCCUGAUCCAGCCAUGCCGCGUGCAGGAUGAAGGCCUUCGGGUUGUAAACUGCUUUUGUACGGAACGAAAAAGCUCUCUCUAAUACAGGGGGUGAAUGACGGUACCGUAAGAAUAAGCACCGGCUAACUACGUG
RNAcentral lists this ribosomal RNA (482 nucleotides) under uncultured bacterium. RNAcentral describes it as "partial 16S ribosomal RNA". It matches the Rfam family "Bacterial small subunit ribosomal RNA", at positions 30 to 507 of the family's 1533-position model. The record is from RNAcentral.